Molecule: ribosomal RNA, 254 nt
Filed under: uncultured bacterium
Lineage: Bacteria
Description: partial 16S ribosomal RNA
Rfam family: Bacterial small subunit ribosomal RNA
Source: RNAcentral
UACGUAGGGUGCGAGCGUUGUCCGGAAUUAUUGGGCGUAAAGAGCUCGUAGGCGGUGUGUCACGUCGGCCGUGAAAACCUGGGGCUCAACUCUGGGCGUGCGGUCGAUACGGGCAUCACUAGAGUUCGGCAGGGGAGAACGGAAUUCCUGGUGUAGCGGUGAAAUGCGCAGAUAUCAGGAGGAACACCGGUGGCGAAGGCGGUUCUCUGGGCAUUACCUGACGCUGAGGAGCGAAAGUGUGGGGAGCGAACAGG